This is a non-coding RNA of Odocoileus virginianus texanus, 1288 nucleotides long. Lineage: Eukaryota; Metazoa; Chordata; Mammalia; Artiodactyla; Cervidae. The record is from RefSeq and is a predicted model, not a curated record.
CUUCCCAUCCCAGCCCUAGGGAGGCCCAGGGUGCCCUGUCCACGGGCUCUGGAGACUGGCAUCAAGUUCUCCUAGUGUCAUCUGGAUGUGGUCCUGUGUGCCAACAUGACAGGAAUCAUCACCUUCAGCAUGCCGCUUUCUGCUUGUCCCCAGUUCACAGCUCCUGCCCAAUAGAACACCCCAUGGGGAGAAGAGGUCAAAGCACCCCCAUUGCCAUGGUAGCAGGAGUUUUUCUAGGAGCCGAGGAUACAGUAGUGAACAAGCCGAGCGUGUCCCUGGUGUCACAGAGAUUACAACAAUAAACCAAGAAGCAUUAAACACAACGUCAGAAAGUGAAAGUGCUAUGAAGAAAAAUUGCAGCGGCUAUGAGACUAGGCCUCUCGGAUCUCCGUCUGCCGCCUGUUUUAUCCUCUCAGGAUCCUCAAGGGGGCAAGGGAGUUGGCACCAGCAGCUUUGAAAUCCACACUGACAGCUUCCAACCCAGAGACAGAAGGAGCGACGCCUCUAACUUCAAUGGGAGGGCAAAAAACUCCAGAGAACUGAUCUGAUUGGUUUAGAGGAUACUCCCUGAACCAGUUACCAUGGACAAAAGGAAGAGAUAAUAUGACUGGCCAGCCCACUGGGGAAGGCACACCGGGAAAUAACCUUCAGCCAAAUAUCUGGGCAUCCUGUGAAACACUCAAGUUGACGUGUAAAAUUAACCAUCACAGCCAGUGUGGAGCAGAGGAGUGAGCAAGAGGAAGAUGGACAAGAGAUGCUAUCAGAGUGAUGGGGAAGGACUCAACCAAAAAGGGGUUAUAGAAUACAAUGAGCAGGUUGGGUUUUAGUCUGAGUUCAGCAGAAGCCUUUGGAGGACUUUGAGUGAGGAACCAACAUGAUCUGAUUUACCUUUUCAAAAUGCCCCUCUGUGGAGUGUUUGCUGGCCACGUGGUGGGGGAGGGGGGUGACGUAGAAGUAGGGAGUCAGUGUUGGUAAGUGUGUUGGUCAGCAUGGGCUGAGUAAGACCAGAGUAAUGAUGCUUCAUGUCUUAUAGCUCUACUCCACAUCAUCUCCACUCUAGAAUAUGUGCCUCUGUAUGCAACGCUCAUUGGUCUCCUGGUAGAGACAAAAACGAUGGUGGUGAAUCACAUACAAAUUCUGCACUCUUUCGCCUCAAAGUGACACACAUCACAUCCUUCACAUUUCCUUGACUGAGUGAAGUCUUAUGACUAACCCUGGCAUCAUUGGAGGUGGGGAAAUAUAAUCCUCCACCAAGAGGAACAGUGAAUACUUGGAAACUAUGGUCCGA